GGCUCAGGACGAACGCGGGCGGCGUGCCUAACACAUGCAAGUCGAACGAGGUCCAUCCAGUAGCAAUACUGGGGAAGACCUAGUGGCGAACGGGUGAGUAACACGUGAGGAACCUGCCCCGGAGACCGGGAUAACGCUCCGAAAGGAACGCUAAUACCGGAUACCUUCACCAGGCCGCAUGACCUGGUGAAGAAAUGGAUUCCGCUUCGGGAGGGCCUCGCGGCCUAUCAGCUUGUUGGUGGGGUAACGGCCCACCAAGGCUUCGACGGGUAGCUGGUCUGAGAGGACGAUCAGCCACACUGGGACUGAGACACGGCCCAGACUCCUACGGGAGGCAGCAGUGGGGAAUCUUGCGCAAUGGGCGAAAGCCUGACGCAGCAACGCCGCGUGGGGGAUGAAGGCUCUCGGGUUGUAAACCCCUUUCAGCAGGGACGAUCGUGACGGUACCUGCAGAAGAAGGCCCGGCCAACUACGUGCCAGCAGCCGCGGUAACACGUAGGGGCCAAGCGUUGUCCGGAUUUAUUGGGCGUAAAGAGCUCGUAGGCGGUUCGGUAAGUCGGGUGUGAAACCUCCAGGCUCAACCUGGAGACGCCACCCGAUACUGCUGUGACUCGAGUCCGGUAGGGGAGCGUGGAAUUCCUGGUGUAGCGGUGAAAUGCGCAGAUAUCAGGAGGAACACCAGCGGCGAAGGCGGCGCUCUGGGCCGGAACUGACGCUGAGGAGCGAAAGCGUGGGUAGCAAACAGGAUUAGAUACCCUGGUAGUCCACGCCGUAAACGUUGGGCACUAGGUGUGGGUCUCAACCAACGGGAUCUGUGCCGUAGCUAACGCAUUAAGUGCCCCGCCUGGGGAGUACGGCUGCAAGGCUAAAACU
RNAcentral lists this ribosomal RNA (873 nucleotides) under uncultured bacterium. RNAcentral describes it as "bacterial SSU rRNA". It matches the Rfam family "Bacterial small subunit ribosomal RNA", at positions 21 to 901 of the family's 1533-position model. The record is from RNAcentral.